UGGGGAAUUUUGCACAAUGGGGGAAACCCUGAUGCAGCGACGCCGCGUGAUUUAGAAGGCCUUCGGGUUGUAAAAAUCUUUUCUAUGGGAAGAAAAUGACAGUACCAUAGGAAUAAGGACCGGCUAAUUACGUGCCAGCAGCCGCGGUAAUACGUAAGGUCCGAGCGUUGUCCGGAAUCAUUGGGCGUAAAGGGUACGCAGGCGGGUAAGCAAGUUAGAAGUGAAAUCCUAUAGCUCAACUAUAGUAAGCUUUUAAAAUUGCUCAUCUUGAGGUAUGGAAGGGAAAGUGGAAUUCCUAGUGUAGCGGUGAAAUGCGCAGAUAUUAGGAGGAAUACCGGUGGCGAAGGCGACUUUCUGGCCAUAACCUGACGCUGAGGUACGAAAGCGUGGGUAGCAAACAGG
This 402-nucleotide ribosomal RNA is filed under the name bacterium. RNAcentral describes it as "partial 16S ribosomal RNA". It matches the Rfam family "Bacterial small subunit ribosomal RNA", at positions 355 to 776 of the family's 1533-position model. The record is from RNAcentral.